This 448-nucleotide ribosomal RNA is filed under the name uncultured bacterium. RNAcentral's name for it is "bacterial SSU rRNA". It matches the Rfam family "Bacterial small subunit ribosomal RNA", at positions 96 to 562 of the family's 1533-position model. The record is from RNAcentral.
UGGCGGACGGGCGAGUAACGCGUGAGCAACCUGCCCUAUGCAGGGGGAUAACACCGGGAAACUGGUGCUAAUACCGCAUAAGACCACACUGGCACAUGUCAGAGUGGUAAAAGCUCCGGCGGCAUAGGAUGGGCUCGCGUCCAAUUAGCUUGUUGGUAGGGUAACAGCCUACCAAGGCGACGAUUGGUAGCCGAACUGAGAGGUUGGUCGGCCGCAUUGGGACUGAGACACGGCCCAGACUCCUACGGGAGGCAGCAGUGGGGAAUAUUGCGCAAUGGGGGAAACCCUGACGCAGCGACGCCGCGUGAAGGAAGAAGGCCUUCGGGUUGUAAACUUCUUUGGUCGGGGACGAAGAUGACGGUACCCGAAUAACAAGCCACGGCUAACUACGUGCCAGCAGCCGCGGUAAUACGUAGGUGGCGAGCGUUGUCCGGAAUUACUGGGUGUA